GAUGAACGCUGGCGGCGUGCCUAAUACAUGCAAGUCGAGCGAACGGACGAGAAGCUUGCUUCUCUGAUGUUAGCGGCGGACGGGUGAGUAACACGUGGAUAACCUACCUAUAAGACUGGGAUAACUUCGGGAAACCGUAGCUAAUACCGGAUAAUAUUUUGAACCGCAUGGUUCAAAAGUGAAAGACGGUCUUGCUGUCACUUAUAGAUGGAUCCGCGCUGCAUUAGCUAGUUGGUAAGGUAACGGCUUACCAAGGCAACGAUGCAUAGCCGACCUGAGAGGGUGAUCGGCCACACUGGAGCUGAGACACGGUCCAGACUCCUACGGGAGGCAGCAGUAGGGAAUCUUCCGCAAUGGGCGAAAGCCUGACGGAGCAACGCCGCGUGAGUGAUGAAGGUCUUCGGAUCGUAAAACUCUGUUAUUAGGGAAGAACAUAUGUGUAAGUAACUGUGCACAUCUUGACAGUACCUAAUCAGAAAGCCACGGCUAACUACGUG
This 497-nucleotide ribosomal RNA is filed under the name uncultured bacterium. Its description in RNAcentral is "partial 16S ribosomal RNA". It matches the Rfam family "Bacterial small subunit ribosomal RNA", at positions 28 to 507 of the family's 1533-position model. The record is from RNAcentral.